GGAGCUCUCUCCUAGCUCUCACUGUUUGUAAUCUCUAGGUCCUUCYUGGCAGCACAUCUAUCUGCUGAGGCUCCCAGAUGACCCAGACCAGUGCAUUCUGCGUGCUCCUCUAGUGCUGCCAUCACAGCCAAAGAUUGGGAUAUUGCAAGAUCAAAGUGAUAACCUAAGAGACUCAUGCAGAGACACAGGAGGAAACUGUGCUGCCUCUGAACUGCAAAAUCACUUUCCUCUCCCUUCCUUCCCUUUGCAUCGUUCCUUACUGCCCCAGAUGUGAGCCUUCUCCAGGGGAAGGAUUAAAUAUGAGGUAUGAUGGAUCUGGGGGUGGGAGGGAUUAGGGGGGAU
This is a long non-coding RNA of Dromaius novaehollandiae (emu), 342 nucleotides long. The record is from Ensembl. Lineage: Eukaryota; Metazoa; Chordata; Aves; Casuariiformes; Dromaiidae.